AACGAACGCUGGCGGCAUGCCUAACACAUGCAAGUCGAACGAGAACUUCGGGUAUAGUGGCGCACGGGUGAGUAACGCGUGGGAACCUGCCCUUAGGUUCGGAAUAACUCCCCGAAAGGGGUGCUAAUACCGGAUAAUGUCUUCGGACCAAAGAUUUAUCGCCUUUGGAUGGGCCCGCGUUGGAUUAGCUAGUUGGUAGGGUAAAAGCCUACCAAGGCGACGAUCCAUAGCUGGUCUGAGAGGAUGAUCAGCCACACUGGGACUGAGACACGGCCCAGACUCCUGCGGGAGGCAGGAGUGGGGAAUAUUGCACAAUGGGCGAAAUCCUGAUCCAGCAAUGCCGCGUGAGUGAUGAAGGCCUUAGGGUUGUAAAGCUCUUUUACCCGGGAUGAUAAUGACAGUACCGGGAGAAUAAGCUCCGGCUAACUCCGUG
Molecule: ribosomal RNA, 433 nt
Filed under: uncultured bacterium
Lineage: Bacteria
Description: partial 16S ribosomal RNA
Rfam family: Bacterial small subunit ribosomal RNA
Source: RNAcentral